GAGUAAGUAAGCAUUAUUGGUUCUAUAGUUAAUGAGAAAGUGUUUAUAAAAUGAUAUGUUUAUUAGGUGAAAUUUUAAUUUUCUAUUAUUUAUAUUGUGUGAAGCUAUGAAAUUUAUAUUAAAAACAAGGAUUAGAUACCCUUUUAUUAUAAAAGUGAAUUUUUAAAGCCAGGGUAGUAUUAGUUAUGUUCUUUAAACCCAGAGAAUUUGGCGGUAUUUUAGUCCUUUCAGAGGAAUCUGUCCCGUAAUCGACAGCCCACGUGAAGUGUUUACCUAGUUUUGUUUAUCAGUUUGUAUACCUCCGUCAUAAGAGAAUCUUUUUAGAGUUAAAUUUUCUUAAUAUAUUUGUUAUACUAUGUCAGGUCAAGGUGCAGCUUAUAAUUAGGAGGAGAUGGAUUACAAUAUUUAUAUGUAUACGAAGUAAAAUAAUUGUCUUUUUUAUGAAGGUGGAUUUGAUAGUAAUUUUAAUUAUUUAUUAUUGUGAUUUUGGCUCUAAAAUAUGCACACAUCGCCCGUCGCUCUCAUUUUUAAAAUGAGAUAAGUCGUAACAUAGUAGGUGUAUCGGAAGAUGUACCUAGUAAGU
Molecule: ribosomal RNA, 583 nt
Filed under: Davidius nanus
Lineage: Eukaryota; Metazoa; Arthropoda; Insecta; Odonata; Gomphidae
Description: partial 12S ribosomal RNA
Source: RNAcentral